RNAcentral lists this ribosomal RNA (551 nucleotides) under Salmonella enterica. RNAcentral describes it as "partial 23S ribosomal RNA". It matches the Rfam family "Bacterial large subunit ribosomal RNA", at positions 1 to 591 of the family's 2925-position model. RNAcentral also lists the same sequence under 1 other name. The record is from RNAcentral. Lineage: Bacteria; Pseudomonadati; Pseudomonadota; Gammaproteobacteria; Enterobacterales; Enterobacteriaceae.
GGUUAAGCGACUAAGCGUACACGGUGGAUGCCCUGGCAGUCAGAGGCGAUGAAGGACGUGCUAAUCUGCGAUAAGCGCCGGUAAGGUGAUAUGAACCGUUAUAACCGGCGAUUUCCGAAUGGGGAAACCCAGUGUGACUCGUCACACUAUCAUUAACUGAAUCCAUAGGUUAAUGAGGCGAACCGGGGGAACUGAAACAUCUAAGUACCCCGAGGAAAAGAAAUCAACCGAGAUUCCCCCAGUAGCGGCGAGCGAACGGGGAGGAGCCCAGAGCCUGAAUCAGCAUGUGUGUUAGUGGAAGCGUCUGGAAAGGCGCGCGAUACAGGGUGACAGCCCCGUACACAAAAGCGCAUGUGCUGUGAGCUCGAUGAGUAGGGCGGGACACGUGGUAUCCUGUCUGAAUAUGGGGGGACCAUCCUCCAAGGCUAAAUACUCCUGACUGACCGAUAGUGAACCAGUACCGUGAGGGAAAGGCGAAAAGAACCCCGGCGAGGGGAGUGAAAAAGAACCUGAAACCGUGUACGUACAAGCAGUGGGAGCACCCUUUGGGG